Molecule: non-coding RNA, 135 nt
Organism: Clostridium sp.
Lineage: Bacteria; Bacillati; Bacillota; Clostridia; Eubacteriales; Clostridiaceae
Source: Rfam
UGAAUUCUUCGGGGUCGGGUGCAAUUCCCAACCGGCGGUAUAGUCCGCGACCCGCUUCGGCGGCUGAACUGGUGACUCUCAUAUACAGAGGGGAUUCCAGUACCGACAGUAAAGUCUGGAUGAGAGAAGAAAUUU